Molecule: long non-coding RNA, 229 nt
Filed under: Ananas comosus (pineapple)
Lineage: Eukaryota; Viridiplantae; Streptophyta; Magnoliopsida; Poales; Bromeliaceae
Description: long non-coding RNA (ACOM_LNC022253)
Source: RNAcentral
GGCUUGAGCAAAGUAUAGUCUAAUGAAGGAUGAGUAGGUAAAUAAAGAAUUGGCGCCAUUACUCUAAGAGAGAUGAGUAUGAAAGGCGAAAGGAAGAAGACGACAGAAGAAAGAGAGAGACGAGAAAGAGGUUUCAUUGGAGGAGACGAGAAAGGGAUAAAAGAGAUAAAAGAGACAAAAAGAAUGAGAAGCUUGGGGAAGAAGAAAAGGCCGUUGUAUCGAACCGUCA